Molecule: ribosomal RNA, 393 nt
Filed under: uncultured bacterium
Lineage: Bacteria
Description: partial 16S ribosomal RNA
Rfam family: Bacterial small subunit ribosomal RNA
Source: RNAcentral
AUACGGAAGGUCCGGGCGUUAUCCGGAUUUAUUGGGUUUAAAGGGAGCGCAGGCGGAGAUGCAAGCGUGACGUCAAAUUUCGGGGCUCAACCCCGUCUCGCGUCGCGAACUGCGUCCCUUGGUUGCGGGAAGGGGAGGCGGAACUCGUGGGGUGGCGGUGGAAUGCAUAGAUAUCACGAAGAACUCCGAUCGCGAAGGCAGCCUUCCGGCCCGUCAACGACGCUCAUGCUCGAAGGUGCGGGUAUCAAACAGGAUUAGAUACCCUGGUAGUCCGCACAGUAAACGAUGGACACCCGCGGUUUGGCCUAUAUGGCUGAGCCGCCAAGCGAAAGCGUUAAGUGUCCCACCUGGGGAGUACGCCGGCAACGGUGAAACUCAAAUGAAUUGACGGGG